GAGACGUGGCCGAGUGGUCGAAGGCGCUCCCCUGCUAAGGGAGUAGGCCCGGAAGGGUCUCGUGGGUUCGAAUCCCAUCGUCUCC
RNAcentral lists this transfer RNA (85 nucleotides) under Thalassiosira minuscula. It matches the Rfam family "tRNA". From Rfam's summary of the family: Transfer RNA (tRNA) molecules are approximately 80 nucleotides in length. Their secondary structure includes four short double-helical elements and three loops (D, anti-codon, and T loops). Lineage: Eukaryota; Bacillariophyta; Thalassiosirophyceae; Thalassiosirales; Thalassiosiraceae. The record is from RNAcentral.